GAGCCGGCCGGGCGGCCGCGGCGUUUGCGAACCACCGUAAAACGGGAAGGCGCAGGUCGAGGAAAGUCCGGACUCCACAGGGCACGGUGGUUGCUAACGGCAACCCGGAGCGAUCCGCGGGAAAGUGCAACAGAAAGUAGACCGCCCGCCGCCCCUCGGGGCGUGCGGGUGAGGGUGAAAGGGUGCGGUAAGAGCGCACCGGCGCGGGUGGUGACACACGCGGCCAGGUAAACCCCACCGGGAGCAAGGCAAGAAUCCGCGCCGCGUGCGGCGGGGGUCGUCGGACGCAAUGAGGCUGCCCGCCCAUGUCCGAAGGUAGCUGCUUGAGGCGCCCAGCAAUGGGUGGUCCAGAUGGAUGGUCGCCGCCCCGUCAGGGGAACAGAAUCCGGCUCAUAGGCCGACUCAU
Molecule: RNase P RNA, 406 nt
Filed under: Corynebacterium bouchesdurhonense
Lineage: Bacteria; Bacillati; Actinomycetota; Actinomycetes; Mycobacteriales; Corynebacteriaceae
Description: Bacterial RNase P class A
Rfam family: Bacterial RNase P class A
About the family: Ribonuclease P (RNase P) is a ubiquitous endoribonuclease, found in archaea, bacteria and eukarya as well as chloroplasts and mitochondria.
Source: RNAcentral